Molecule: long non-coding RNA, 1257 nt
Filed under: Lupinus angustifolius (narrow-leaved blue lupine)
Lineage: Eukaryota; Viridiplantae; Streptophyta; Magnoliopsida; Fabales; Fabaceae
Description: long non-coding RNA (LANG_LNC003600)
Source: RNAcentral
UAUGAUCUAUGUUAAUUGGCAACAAUAUUUGUAUAAUCAAGAAUCAAUUUAGGACAGUAAAGAUCAGCAAUCAUCACUAUUUUCAUUGCAAGAAAAAUCUAUUUUUUAAAGAAUCAAGAAUAAGCGUAAUCGAUUAAUGCUAACUAUAAUUGAUUAAGACAACUGCCAAUAAUCGAUUAAGACAACUAUCAUUAAUCGAUUAAGACAACUGUCAUUAAUUGAUUAACCCUAUUAUUAAUCGAUUAACUGCAGCAGUGUUCUGUUCUGCGCAUAAAUUGGAAAAGUGAGAUUAGUGAUCCGCUAUACUGAUUCAUCCCCCCUCUUGGUGUGUUUUACCUUACUGGUACCCAACAACUAUAUUUUAGUACAUCUUACCAUCCACAGUCUGAUGGACAAACGGAGGUGGAGAACCACUACUUGUAGACGUAUCUGUGGUGCUUCACGGGCACUCAUUCGAAGAAGUGGUUUGCACAUUUGUCUUUGGCAGAAUAUUGGUACAACACCAAUCAUCACUCCUCCAUAGAUCAAUCUCCAUUUACGGCUCUAUAUGGUCGUGCACCACCUACAAUUCGUGACUUUGUUCCGAGUUCAACAACAAACCCGAAAAUACAAGAUACCUUGCAAACAAGAGGCCAACUAUUAGCUACCUUAAAACAGAACCUACUUCAUGGCCAACAAAGAAUGAAGGCUCAUGUUGAUACAAAAAGAGAGGAUAUUAGCUCGGAAGUCGAUGAGUAGGUCAUCUUAUGAUUGCAACCGUAUUCAUAAGUGAUCGACUCAAAAAGUUCUUCUCACAAGUUCGGCCAUCGCUCUUUUGGAUUGUUUCAGGUGAACCGUAGGAUCGGUCUAGUCGAAUAUGAACUUUCCCUACUGGAAGACACACAAAUGCAUCUAGUAUUUCACAUAUCUCUCUUCAGAAGAAAAAAAAAAUUGGAGACCCACACGGCCAUGUUCAAGUGAUCCCUCAAGAUUCCACAUCCUUAGAUUUAGCAGACCAAGAAGAUGAAGGUUUGUUUCAUUCUGGAACAGGGACGAUAGAUGUCACGACAUCUACUCCAGCCUAGUUGACCAUCAAGCCCUCACAAGGAGACAAUGAUUCUCGGUCCAUGCUAGUUACAAAGGAGGGUUUUUCUCACCGUGGAAAUGGUGACAUGGUGUUCAUGAAAGAAAAAGAAGCAAAAGUGAAUGGAGGAGAAGGAUCUAUCCAGAAUAUUGAAGAAGGGCAUGAAGGGGGCAAAGAGACUAUUUGUAAAGGGG